UCCUACGAGUCUGCGUAAGGUGCCCCACUCGGGGUGAAACGGGAAACCGGUGCGUCGCGGGCUCUUCACGGGGCCACGACAAGGCCGGUGCUGCCCCCGCAACGGUAUGCGAGCCAUGCGUCAUGUGCCACUGGGCCCUUCAGGCCUGGGAAGGCGAUGCGUGCCAGGAGAGCCUGCUCUCGCUCGUCAGCCCGGAGACCGGCCUCACGCCUGAAAACACC
Molecule: non-coding RNA, 221 nt
Filed under: Pseudomonas monteilii
Lineage: Bacteria; Pseudomonadati; Pseudomonadota; Gammaproteobacteria; Pseudomonadales; Pseudomonadaceae
Source: RNAcentral